Orcinus orca (killer whale) is the source of this 5243-nucleotide long non-coding RNA. RefSeq lists it as uncharacterized. The transcript is spliced from 4 exons. Lineage: Eukaryota; Metazoa; Chordata; Mammalia; Artiodactyla; Delphinidae. The record is from RefSeq and is a predicted model, not a curated record.
CGCAAGCGGAGCGCCCCCCACCCUUGGAUGUGACAUUCGUGGGAGACAGAGGACUCUUGGACCAUGUGCGUAACUCUAGCGUGGGACGUUGCAAUCCUCGGAUUGAAGAAGGGAGGGGUGGAAAUAACCCCGACAGUGUCAGGCUUGUUGGUUGUCAGGGACAGAGGAUUCCAGCCCUGGGCUGAUCAUCUGCCUUCCACCUCCCAUUUAGACUAACACAGCCCGUGCUGCUGUCUCUUGUACUUACUGUAAAGGACCCUGGAAGAGGGAGUGGUUCAUCCUAGCUGCAAACAAGGGCGCUAUUUUUUUUUUCUUAAGAAUUACGUUUUAUAAGUAUGUUUGGGCGAUACAAGGGAAUGUGAACGACUUUCAGAGAGAUUGUGAACGUAUUUGGUGUGUACUAGAAAGCUGGAAAUCCCUAAAUAAAUGCAGUAACGGUAGAAAGCAAGUUUCUUGAAGAGUCACCUGCUAAACUCCACUAGCGUCAUCUCUACAGUGGAGUGCCUAUUUCCUCUUCAUUUAUUUGGUCUGGAGAGACUUCAGAUGUCACCAUUCUUCUCACUGAGAGUGUCAUUGUGGAAACCCUGUCUGUUUUCCCUAUGCAUCCUCCACUUUCACUUCCCCAAGCCUAUACUUAACAUGUAGUGGGGACUUCUCUGGUGGCGCAGUGGUUAAGAAUCUGCCUGCCAAUGCAGGGGACACGGGUUCGAGCUCUGGUCUGGAAAGAUCCCACAUGCGUGGAGAAACUCAGCCUGUGCGUCGCAACUCCUGAGCCUGCGCUCUAGCGCCUGCAAACCACAGCUACUGAAGCCCGCAUGCCUAGAGCCCGUGCUCCACAACAAGAGAAGCCACCAAAAUGAGAAGCCCGUGCACCACAACGAAGAGUAUCGCCUGCUCGCUGCAACUAGAGAAAGCCCGUGCGCAGCAACGAAGACCCAAUGCAGCCCAAAAUUAAUUAAUUAAUUAAUUUAAAAAAUGUAAUGGGCAUUAAAUAAAUGUGUGGGGUUUGCAUAAAUGGAUUCUAGUUUUGCGUCAUAAGGAAUCCUAUCUAAUCUUAUCCUAUCUAUUCUGUAUCUAUUUAAUCAUUUAAUGUCAGCCAUAUUAAACAAGGAUGAAAUAUAGUUAUAGUAGAAGCUUUGGGGUCGGCUUUCUCUGGUUAAUUUCUGGUUCUAUGUCAUAUAAAUUUACUUUUUUUAUUUACCUUGCAGAAAAUCUUACUUUAUUUAUCUUGCAGAAAUUUGUUGUAAGGAGGAAAUAAAAUAAUAGAGGUGAAAUUCCAAGCAUUUUAUCAGGUGCAGAAUAGCUGUUUAUAGUUUAAGGAAUUUUUAUAUGCCAAAUUCUCUGCUUAAUGACUCAGGUCAUUUCUCUAAAUUUUCUCUCAACUAUUUGAUAGAGGCUCUAUUAUUAUUGUCAUUUUACAGGUGAUAAAUUUGACACAAAGAUGAUUAAGUAAUUUUCUUAAGUCCUACACUUAUUAAGUCAUUUCAAGAGCCCUGUAAUCACUACCCUAUAGUGCUUAAUAAAUAUUCACUCUUUAUCUUUUUGCUUAGGUUCAGGUUCUGUGCUACAUCUUGAUGAUACAAAGAUGAGUAAGAAAAAAUUGCUGAUAUUCUAGUGGAGAAAAAGAAGGUAUAGAAAAGAGUCGAUUUUUACAAAAUUUUUCAUCCAUUCUUGGUAAUGAAAUCUGAUAUUGGCAGAAAAUAUACUAUGCCCCAAAGGUACAUUAUAUUCCAAAUUUAUCCAUAUGCAGUUCCAGAUAAUUACAUUAGAUUCCAAUUUUAAGUUAAAUUGCUAGUAUGAAGUAUGGUGUUUAUUUUGACAUCAAAAGUAGAUGAGAAUCUUUAUCACAAGGAAGUUAAGGUUUUACUUAGUUUCAAUUAUGUCCACAUAGACAAAGUGAAAUGAGUCACAACUUGAGAAGAUGAGAAAAGGGAAUUGUUGAGAGAAUUUUAAAAAGCAGGCUUACACAGUUUCAUAACACUAUAAAAUUUCCCAGACUCCUUAACUUGUGUGCUGUUUCUUAUUCUCAGAAAACUUUUUUUAAAAAGGAAUACGGGGCUUCCCUGGUGGCGCAGUGGUUGAGAGUCCGCCUGCCGAUGCAGGGGACGCGGGUUCAUGCCCCGGUCCGGGAAGAUCCCACAUGCCGCGGAGCGGCUGGGCCCAAGAGCCGUGGCCGCUGAGCCUGCGCGUCCGGAGCCUGUGCUCCGCAACGGGAGAGGCCACAACAGUGAGAGGCUCGCGUACCGCAAAAAAAAAAAAAAAAGAGUACGAAAGUGUAGAACAAUUAAUCAGUUAGCAAUUUAUAAAUUAAUCAAAUUUAUAAUCUAUAACUAUAAAUUAUAUAGUAAUGUAUAAUUUAUAAUUUACUUACUGAUAUUAGGUGUGAGGGUUGGUAAUGGAUGGAAGGUAAAGGAAGUUCUGCUAAAGGUUCAAGUUUUAUUGACUGGUGUAAGACCAGUUAUGUUAAUAAGGACACACAUCAAUUUUACAAACCCAAGUAUUAAGAUAAAAGGUAGUAAUAAUAAUUAUAUUUUGAGAACAGAUCCAGAGGCUGGAAAAGCUAAAACCAUGGUGUUGAUUCAAUCUAUAGUCUAGUACACUGGUAUGUAGGAAUUUUGAAAAUUUGUUACCAUUGGCAAGAAAGAAAAGAAGUCAAAUAUGUUUAGUUAUAGACUGGUAGACUGGUAAAUCAAAUGUUAUAGUGGGUUAUGCCCCAAAUGGAGAAAAUCAAGUAAAAAUUUAUUUCUAAGUGUACGGAACUUUCAAAAUGUUGAACACAAUAUGUUAAAGCAAUUGCAAAAUGGCUACAUGCAUUAUAGGUAAAUCAAAUAUAUCUAUUCUACUGUUGCCAGAGGAAUUUGAAAAAAAUCUUAAGUAUAUUUUCUCUUGAAGAUAUGUUACAAAGUAGAGGUAAAUAACAUGAGCAAUAAUUUGUUAGAAAUACUCAGCUAUGCAGUAUGCCCCUUAGGAUUUUCACACAAAACAAAAUAAUACUGAAUAAACUAUUGAACAUAGUUUAUCUGUGAUGAGAACAUGCAACCCAUAGCUGAAUUUUAAAAUGGAAUAAGCAAGCAAAUAUACAUCUUAUUUUCAGGUUGUGUGUGUGUGUGGUUUGUUAAUGGGUUUAAAAUGCAAAAAGCUAAGGCAUAAUAUAAUUUGGUAGGGGCAAGAUCUGAAUCACUAUAUACUAAAAUUUCACCUGUAUUUUCCCAAACAUACCUUACAUCCAUCUUUCAGACUAUACAGUGCCCAUUCUAAUACUUCUAUGUAACCAACACAAAUGUAUGCUUGACUCAAGAAAUAUAAGUUAUCUAUAUGUGGACAGAGGAAAACACUUAAAUUCAGUAAUGGCUUUCAACACUAAUGAACUGGAUCCCCCCUACCCAGUGGAGGAAUUUGAUUUACCAAAGCUGUUAAGACACAUACAGUUCUAUGCAUAUAUAAACAUCUAAGCAGACGCGUGUUUCAACUAUGAAAGAGAAUAGGUUCAAGUGGACAAAAAAGUCAGGAGAAGAGAGCCAUACAACUGAUAAUUCUACAAAUCCCUUUUUGUAAUGAAUAUUUAUUGAUCCUCCCCGGAUUAAAAGUAUUCUUUGUGCCGCCGAGGCAAUAGCAAUGAAAAAAGCAGCUAGGGUGCUAGUACUCAAAGCUCAUAGGGACUGUAUAGCACAGGGAAUUCUACUCAGUAUUCUGUAAUGACCUAUAUGGGAAAAGAAUCUAAAAUAGAAUGGCUAUAUGUAUAUGUAUAACUGAUUCACUUUGCUGUGCAACUGAAACUAACACAACAUUGUAAAUCAAAUGUACUGUAAUAAAAAAAUGUCAAUGUCACAUUGACUCAAGUUAUCUAUGAAUGUCUGCAUUUAGUAAUCUCAUUAAGUAGAUAUCAGAUUGGUAUAAGAUGAGAGAAAAGGAAAACUCUUGACAGUAGCAUUGGUUCCAGGGAAAAGCGUAAGUAGCCUUCCUUGUAAUCUAACAAGCUUGAAAAUUCUAGACCUUCAGAAAACAUUUCUUAACCAAGCAAGAUAAAUGAGUACAUGCCAAAGCAAAAGUCAAUCAGAGUGACAAUAACUCACUAAUGUGGUGUAAAAAGAGAAAACAGAAAAAUAAACUCACGCCUACAAUACUAUAGAUUUGGUAAAGCACAUACACAACAAAAUAAGGCAAAAGAUAAAACAAUUCUUUCUUCUGAGCAACAUUUCAUCUUCGACUAAAGGUAUCUGAAUGAAAACCAAAGUAUUUUCAAAUGUUCAUAUGCUAUCCUUAAGGUAUUUCAGAAGAGACAAAGAUUAAUUGACAUCUAAGUCAUUGCUAAAGUUUGAAGGGUGACUUUUAAUUUAUUUUUCAAAAAAAUCAGAAUUUUAUUGAAAUAAUUUAGCUUGCAAUGUGUGUGUGUAUAUAUAUGUGUAUGUGUGUAUAUAUAUAUAUAUAUAUAUAUAUACACUAUAUAUAUAUACACACACACAUACAUACAUAUAGACAUGCAUACAUAUAUGCACUUGCCCCAGCUCUUAUUCUGGGGCAAGAUGAGUUCAUUUCAAAGGCAUAGUCUUUUUGUAGUUGCAAUUGUUUCAGUGAGCUUUUAGUGAUAUCUCUAAACACUAGAUGGUUAGAAUGCCCAUGUCUUCUGAACAGUGUGAACCACCCAUUUAGCUCAUAGCCUUCCAGUAACAAUUUUCUCCCAGGCAUCACAGUGUUUCACUCUGUACAUGCAUAGCUGUGUAUUUGGCCAAACAUUAAAACGACUUCUAUGUGGACUUUUGGUACUUUUCUUCCAUUUGUUCUCUGCAAGAUUUUAGUACUCUUAUUCUGUUUGCUCUUUUCUCUCCAAAACCCUGAUUUGAAAAUUUUAUUCAUCUCCAGACUCCCAAAAUUUGAUAUGUUUCUUCUGCCAUUAAGAUAGCUGAUCUCAGUCAGGAUUCCACCUUUUUGUGCUGUUUUAUGAAAUAGGAUCUGAGGCAGAAAGCCAUGCUGUAUUAUACCCCAGCUUACAUGCUUUCCUUAUCAAACAAAUGACAGACUUGGGGUGUUCCGUGUCCCAGGCCUGAAAAACUGUUGUUUCAUAGAAUGUGUUUAGUGUUAUCUUUGUUUACUAUGGAUAAGCAUUCUUAUCCAUCGUAAACUUCUUAUCCAAGUCUGGAUAAGCAUUCUUCUAUCACAACUGGAACCAGAACUGCCCAAGUUACGAAGAUGUAAAAGAAAAAAUUAUUCACUUAGUGUAUCUUUGGCUUCCAGGAUUCAUGCUU